UACGUAGGGUGCAAGCGUUGUCCGGAAUUAUUGGGCGUAAAGAGCUCGUAGGCGGUCUGUCACGUCGGCUGUGAAAACCCGAGGCUCAACCUCGGGCCUGCAGUCGAUACGGGCAGACUAGAGUGCGGUAGGGGAGAUUGGAAUUCCUGGUGUAGCGGUGGAAUGCGCAGAUAUCAGGAGGAACACCGAUGGCGAAGGCAGAUCUCUGGGCCGUAACUGACGCUGAGGAGCGAAAGCGUGGGGAGCGAACAGG
Molecule: ribosomal RNA, 253 nt
Filed under: uncultured bacterium
Lineage: Bacteria
Description: partial 16S ribosomal RNA
Rfam family: Bacterial small subunit ribosomal RNA
Source: RNAcentral